UGAAGAGUUUGAUCCUGGCUCAGAGUGAACGUUGGCGGCGUGGAUGAGGCAUGCAAGUCGAGCGAGAAAGUCCGCAAGGAUGAGUACAGCGGCGAAAGGGCGAGCAAUGAGUGGCUUACGUACCCUAAAGUGGGGGACAACCUCGAGAAAUCGGGGCUAAUACCGCAUAAGACCACAGCACUGCAUAGUGCAGGGGUCAAAGGGGGCUUCGGCUCUCGCUUAUGGAGCGGGCCACUUGAUAUCAGCUAGUUGGUAGGGUAAUGGCCUACCAAGGCUACGACGUCUAGCCGGUCUGAGAGGAUGGCUGGCCGCACCGGAACUGAGACACUGUCCGGACACCUACGGGUGGCUGCAGUCGAGAAUCUUUGUCAAUGGGCGAAAGCCUGAACGAGCGACGCCGCGUGUGGGAUGAAGGCGGAUACCGUUGUAAACCACUGUCAGGGGCUUUGAAUAAGGUGCAUGACCUGCACUGAUGACCUUAACCCCAGAGGAAGUCGCAGCUAACUACGUGCCAGCAGCUGCGGUAAUACGUAGGCGGCGAACGUUACUCGGAAUCACUGGGCUUAAAGGGCGUGUAGGCGGCUUGUCAAGUUGGAGUUGAAAUCCGGCGGCUUAACCGUCGAAGUGGCCCCAAUACUGACGAGCUUGAGUCGCGGAGGGGAUGCUGGAACUCGUAGUGGAGCGGUGGAAUGCGCAGAGAUUACGAGGAACACCGAAGGCGAAGGCAGGCAUCUGGUCGACGACUGACGCUGAGGCGCGAAAGCCGGGGGAGCAAACAGGAUUAGAUACCCUGGUAGUCCCGGCCGUAAACGAUGUGCACUAGGGAGGGGAGGACGCCUAGUUCUUCCUUCCCCAAGGGAAACCGUUAAGUGCACCGCCUGGGGAGUAUGCUCGCAAGGGUAAAACUCAAAGGAAUUGACGGGGGCUCACACAAGCGGUGGAGCAUGUGGUUUAAUUCGAAGCAACGCGAAGAACCUUACC
RNAcentral lists this ribosomal RNA (981 nucleotides) under Planctomycetaceae bacterium. RNAcentral's name for it is "bacterial SSU rRNA". It matches the Rfam family "Bacterial small subunit ribosomal RNA", at positions 1 to 975 of the family's 1533-position model. The record is from RNAcentral. Lineage: Bacteria; Pseudomonadati; Planctomycetota; Planctomycetia; Planctomycetales; Planctomycetaceae.